RNAcentral lists this ribosomal RNA (409 nucleotides) under bacterium. RNAcentral describes it as "partial 16S ribosomal RNA". It matches the Rfam family "Bacterial small subunit ribosomal RNA", at positions 355 to 776 of the family's 1533-position model. The record is from RNAcentral.
UGGGGAAUAUUGCACAAUGGGCGAAAGCCUGAUGCAGCGACGCCGCGUGAGGGAUGACGGCCUUCGGGUUGUAAACCUCUUUCAGUAGGGACGAAGCGCAAGUGACGGUACCUGCAGAAGAAGCACCGGCUAACUACGUGCCAGCAGCCGCGGUAAUACGUAGGGUUCGAGCGUUGUCCGGAAUUACUGGGCGUAAAGAGCUCGUAGGCGGUUUGUCACGUCGUCUGUGAAAUCCUAGGGCUUAACCCUGGACGUGCAGGCGUUACGGGCUGACUUGAGUACUACAGGGGAGGCUGGAAUUUCUGGUGUAGCGGUGGAAUGCACAGAUAUCAGGAAGAACACCGAUGGCGAAGGCAGGUCUCUGGGUAGUAACUGACGCUGAGGAGCGAAAGCAUGGGUAGCGAACAGG